RNAcentral lists this unclassified non-coding RNA (227 nucleotides) under Hevea brasiliensis (rubber tree). The record is from RNAcentral. Lineage: Eukaryota; Viridiplantae; Streptophyta; Magnoliopsida; Malpighiales; Euphorbiaceae.
AUCUUUUUGAAAAUAUCAAGACUAUUCAUGGUGCAGAAUUUACAUCAGAGACCCAUGGAAUGUCUGCAGAUGUUAUCAACAAAGCAUUUUUAGCAACAGAAGAGGCAUUUCUCUCUCUAGUACAGCAGCAGUGGCAAAUAAAGCCACAAAUUGCUUCUGUUGGUUCAUGUUGUUUGGUAGGUAUAGUGUAUAGUGGACAUCUAUACAUUGCAAAUGCAGGGGAUUCU